Molecule: ribosomal RNA, 467 nt
Filed under: uncultured bacterium
Lineage: Bacteria
Description: partial 16S ribosomal RNA
Rfam family: Bacterial small subunit ribosomal RNA
Source: RNAcentral
GACGAACGCUGGCGGCGUGCUUAACACAUGCAAGUCGAACGGAAAGGCCUCUUUCGGGGGGUACUCGAGUGGCGAACGGGUGAGUAACACGUGAGUAACCUGCCCUUGACUUUGGGAUAACUUCAGGAAACUGGGGCUAAUACCGGAUAGGAGCUCCUGCUGCAUGGUGGGGGUUGGAAAGUUUCGGCGGUUGGGGAUGGACUCGCGGCUUAUCAGCUUGUUGGUGGGGUAGUGGCUUACCAAGGCUUUGACGGGUAGCCGGCCUGAGAGGGUGACCGGCCACAUUGGGACUGAGAUACGGCCCAGACUCCUACGGGAGGCAGCAGUGGGGAAGAUUGCACAAGGGGUGGAAGCCUGAUGCAGCAACGCCGUGUGCGGGAGGAUGGCCUUCGGGUUGGAAACCGCUUUCGCUCAUGACGAAGCUUUGUGUGACGGUAGUGGGUAAAGAAGCACCGGCUAACUACGUG